GACGAACGCUGGCGGCGUGCUUAACACAUGCAAGUCGAACGGUAAGGCCCUUCGGGGUACACGAGUGGCGAACGGGUGAGUAACACGUGGGUGAUCUGCCCUGCACUUUGGGAUAAGCCUGGGAAACUGGGUCUAAUACCGGAUAGGACCACUGCCUGCAUGGGUGGUGGUGGAAAGCUUUUGCGGUGUGGGAUGGGCCCGCGGCCUAUCAGCUUGUUGGUGGGGUGAUGGCCUACCAAGGCGACGACGGGUAGCCGGCCUGAGAGGGUGACCGGCCACACUGGGACUGAGAUACGGCCCAGACUCCUACGGGAGGCAGCAGUCGGGAAUUUUCCACAAUGGGCGAAAGCCUGAUGGAGCAACGCCGCGUGCAGGAAGAAUGCCUUCGGGUUGUAAACUGCUUUUAUAUGCGAAGAAUAUGACGGUAACAUAUGAAUAAGGGUCGGCUAACUACGUGCCAGCAGCCGCUGUAA
Molecule: ribosomal RNA, 473 nt
Filed under: uncultured bacterium
Lineage: Bacteria
Description: partial 16S ribosomal RNA
Rfam family: Bacterial small subunit ribosomal RNA
Source: RNAcentral